UCCUUUUCCAGUUUUUCUUUUCUGCGUCGCUUUCUUUUUCGGCCUUUGCUUUCCUGAUUUGCUUCCAUUUUCAUUUCACGGUUUUUCUUCUGAAGCUCCAAAAACUUAUUCCAUAUAUUUAAAGGAAUUCCAGCAGGGCACGUUUCAGAUGUGCUUUCUCCAUCCGCCACAGAUGUCAAAACUGAGUUAGUGGUGGCAUUAUUUUCAGGUCCAUUCUCCUGCAAUUCCGGAAGCUGAACUCCUUCUGUGUCUUCUGUUAUGUCUUCCUUCAAACAGGACAUACAUGACUCCUCUUCAUCCUCAGAGCUCAAGUCAACAUCACUUUCACUCAGUCCUGGAGGUAACAGACCACUCCACAUCUUCCUCUUCACGCAAGGCCAAGGCACUGGGAGUCAUUGCACAGAUAUGGGAGUCACGUGAGCACACCUGGCCGCCAUAUUGGCACCUCUGGAACACCCCGCCCGUUGAUUGGGCGCUGCCCCGCAGCCAAUCAGCCGGCGCUUUGCUGCCCUGCUCUCUGCCUCCAUGAGCUCCACGACAAUAGGGCACGGCGUGCAGUAGCGCGGCGCCACGCGAUGCAGUGCAAUGCAGCCUCGCUGCAGCCGCGACAGCUCCACAUUGGUCUCGUGUCCCCAGAUAUGCAAUUUAGGUGUGCUUCUCAGAAUAGCAGCCGUGCUCUCAAGAGAAAGACAGGUCGCUUUCCAGUAUUCAUAGUUGUGGUAGAGGAGCAUGGAAGGUAUUCAAAGCUAAACCUUCUAAUUUGUACAAGUCCCAAAUGUUUGGCAUGGGACAGUGACCAGGGCCUGCAACCUUACUCUUCAUGGAUGAGAAAAUCUUUUUAAAAUUCCUUAAAUUGUCUCAUAUUAAUGCAGUAAAUGGAAAGCCUCAAACGACCUUGUUCCAGCAAAGCUUGAAUUUCCCUUAAACUGCACCAAGAAUGUGAAAAAGGUGCCUGUCUGCCUGAAAAAAAUGUGAAAUGCCUGAAAAAGAUGUGAAAAUGUCACUGUGAGCAGAUUAACACCAUGUGAAGUGACUCUGAGGCCAACAGUAACUCUCUGGAGAGCAUUCGGGAAAGUACAGAACUCAUUUGGAAGUUUGUCCUCUUUGUCCUUUCAGUGUACGUAGGUGAGACGUGAAACAAACGCUUAGUAGAGGCCUGUAUGUGGUUUGACAUGAAACCUCACAUGCAGGGGGUGACAGGAGAGGUGGAACAGAGAAAUAACAAGAAAAGGAUACCAUGAAGACAAAGAGACCUCUGGCACUGAAAUGUGUCUGAAAGAGAGGAGGGCUUGCAGCUGACCGGUUGCAAAGUAGAUCUCAGCCUUGUGCCCUCUGAGAAAGAAAUUGCUGGCACCAAGACACAGCCUACUUGUGGGAAGACGUACAGAUGUGAGGGGAGUGGGAAAGGGGCACGGAUUCCAGGAGGGAUAAAAGCAGACAGCAAGAACUUUGAGUAGGAUCACCUUGGAUCACCGAGAGUAGCAGCUGUGUAUCCAGACUCUCUGAAGGUCAGGUAGCUGUACGGUGGGUGAGCUGGCAGCUGAACUGUGCUACGCAGGUAAGCUUUUUGUUGCCUUCUGCAUGCUUCGUUUUCAUGGGAUUUGGAAUACUUACCUUGAAUGACAGGCUUCGAGGUAGCUGUCUUGUGAGGGAAAACACUUUCUUGAAACUUGUUGAGUAGCAGGCUGCCAGUGCAGAUGCUCCAUUAGCAUGGCAGCCACCUCUCUAAGGAGCAUCUUUGCCCUUUGGGCUGGCUGAGGGCCUACCUGGGAAGGCAGUGGGCAGUUGUGUUGCCACGAUAUGGCACAAAUAACCCUUGAGGCACAGGAGCCAUCAAGCUAAUGAAGUGCAUUAAGGAAAAAGUCUUAACUAUCAAGGGGUGGAUCCACUCCCCCGUGCCACAAACCAGAGGUCACGUGCCUGAGGAAUGUGUAUCCAAAGAUAAUACUACCUUCAGAGAACUCUACUUACAGGUAAGUAACUCUUCUUUAAAGGAGGUAUCUUUGUGUGGCAGACUGUUUAUGGGAGCAAUUUGAAUUGAACUUUAAAUGAAAAAGGCAUAUCUCUGUAAGUGGUAAUAAUUUUAGUCAUCUCGCUGUGGCUAGGGGUUGUGGAAUUCAUUAGCACAGAUUAACAUAUAAAGUGGGUGAGAUAUCUAAUAGCAAACGUAGAGGUUUAGGGACCUUAAUUCAUCACUGAAUGAACAGCGUGUACAGUAUUAGGGACUAUGAAAUUUUUAAUUUACACAAAGUGUCCAAGAAUAUAGGGAAUAAAUUUAAACCCAAAACAGAUAAUGGAGCUGUGCCCUGCCUAGCUGGCAAGUUGAAUUGUUUUUACACUGAGUGAAGAAAGCUAAUUAUCCCAAGCACAAGGAGACUGCUAAAAAUAAUAAGAUUAUAAAGAAUAAUUUGCUGAUAUAAUUACAACAAAAUUGGGUACACACAAUCGUCAGAUACAUGUAUUGCUUGACCUGGGCGAGAAAGUGAAAUAAAUCCUUCCUCUAUAGCCUUCGUAAAUUUGUUUUUAUCAUCUCCAAGUGGUGUUUGCACAGGCAGCACAAUUUGCAUGUGUAAUGUGGCUGUACAAAUUGACAACAAGUAAAUUAUUCAUUUUGAAGAAUCACUGAGACGUGAAGCUCAUACAUCAACCAUUUUCUGACAAUCCUCAGACUUAUUGUCUCCUAAAAUGUCAUUAUGGCUAUUAUUUAUGAAGCUAAUUCAUUUAUUAAUAUAUAUUUAACUCUGACUUGUCAUGCACCUUAGCAGGCAUUCUGCGCACUGCAUAUUUUUGAAUAGAUGAAAGAGUUUUGCAUGCUUUAAUGAUUACUGUAAGCUGCUAUAGAUUUAUAGAAUGCAGCUUUAUUAUCUACUUGCAUUAAUACCUUUUUGUAACUUUUUUUUUUCCUUAAGGCCAUCAAAUAUAAAUGGCAAAUGACAUAUCCAAGAGAUUGUAUAAAAAGAGAUUUUCUCAGAGUUUGUUGAAUUUUAGAACAAAACGAGGUAGCUAACUGUUAAGUCCUAAUUCCUUUUUAAGAGCAUAUAACAGUUGUGUUCAGUUUUUGUGUGUUUUGCUAAAAAUAUAGAAUGAAAUAUAUGAAGGCAGGUGUUUAUUAUACUUUUGUGGACAAGUGGCCACCUUUUGAUUAUACCAACAGGGGGAGUGCCAUUUAGAGGGGGGGGGAAAUGUAGCGGAUGGAAAAUAGAUGUAUUUUUCCAUGGUCUACGUAGAAUAAAGAUAAUUUCACUCAUAUGGAACAGUCCUUAGGAAAUGAACAGCACAGAGCAUGGGUAACGAGGUUGCCUAUGGGUCGUGGAUUUUUUCAACUUGAUUCAGUUAUCUUUAGGGCAUAUUAAAAGACAGAGGGAUCACAGUAACUCUCCUCUGACAUUUGCACAGUGUCAGGAAAUUAAAAAUUGCAUUCUGCUCUGAAAAACAUAUUUGGGGUAGGCCUAAAUUUUAUUACGCACACAGAAUUCAGAUUAAGCUUGUAAUUAUCAUAACAAAUUGACUCAUUUAAAUACAUAGUUAUUAGGAUUGUAUGGUCAAUUCGACUAUUUACAAGUACCUGUGGUCACAAUUUGAGAUGACUGGCCAGUAGUGUAAGAACUUAUUUAGAAGUUAGGAAAUCUUGCUUGUGUUAUUGGUACCGCCCACAGAUUUGGUAGGUCAUAUAGUUUUGUUUCCUCAGUCUUUCCUUCUGUAGGGGUAAAAAAAUUGACAUGCUUCCCAGUAGCAUAAAGGAAUAAUCCAUUAGGGUAAACGAGCUCUGGUAAGAGCUCUUCUUUAGUAUUAAAAUUAGGAACUGUGUUAUUUUUCAACUACUCCCAGGCUAUGCUAGAUAGUAGCAUACUAAUAAUAUUACACCCUGGAAUGGAUAUUCGAUGAAUACAGAGGCAUUUCUUACUGUGCCUCUACCUUAAAAUCUCACACAGCUCUUCAUGAUUGUCUAGAAAACUAUUUCAUUUAAAGCUGAAGGAGAACACAAGGAAGUCCUCAAUACUCUUUUACAAAAACAAGAACCACCACCUCCCUAAGUAGCAUGCAGAUCUUUUGAUAAUGGUAAAUACUAUAGAUUAUCAUAUUGGAAAACUCUCAAUAUUUUGAAUUCUUCGACCUUUUUAGAAUGGUUAUAACAACACAAAAGGAGCAGGCUCAAGUGAUAGAAAUACAGACAUGGUGAGAAACUAAUCUAAACAAGAGCAAAGAAAUUAUACACGUGGUUCUGAGUAUGUGUGGUGAAUAACUAAGGCUUUGCUGUGUCUGAAAUCAGCGAGAAUAAUCAUAUGCUGUGCUUUGGAAAUAGAAGCUUAUGUUUUCAAAAGCAUGCCAUCACUUUUGGUCCUUGCAGUUUCAUUUGCCUGCCUUGAGACAUCUCAGAAGGCAAACUGAGAUGGUCAGCAUUUAUUACUUUUUUUUUUUUUAAACUAGGCCUAGUAAAGUGAUGUCAGUUUACCCUAUACUUCCCCAGAAUGUUUUUAAAUUGACAAAAUACAUUAGUGAGUACGUGCAACUUCAACAUAUCUUAUACCACUUUGAAAUCUUAGGGUAUAAAUAGUGGUUGAUGUUUCAUAUUUCUGAAGACAAAUAGUCUUUGCAGUCAGACCAUCAGUCAUUUGAUAAUCAGUGUCUUCGUAACUUUUAAAUUUGCUCUCAAGUUUCCACUCAGAGAGGUGAAUACAUGAAUUCUUGCAGUUUCACUGAAUAUAGCUAUUUAAACAUAGAAACAGAAAUGAGUGUGACCACUGAAUUUUUUGUUGAAGACUGAUUUCUAGCACAUUUCAUGUUAGUUUACAUUUAAUGAUGCUAUUUAGGUAAUCACUAGAUUACAUGUUAAAAGAGAAAAUCGAGUGUUUCCCAUUUCUAUCUGAAUAUGUUAGAGUCUUUCCAGCUACAGUUUUUCCAAUUAAAGCAUAAUUUGAAGAAAAACUGACAGGAUUGUUUAAAAGGAGCUUUUAUUUUCCUUUCCCAGCAAGAGAUUACAGACUUCUGCAAAGAUACUCUAUGGAAUAUCAAACUGUAGUUCAUGCCACUGCUGCAUACAGUAGUGGAACUACAUUUUUAUUUUAUGAAGAUCAAAAUUAUACCAACUAUGUAAGAUAUUCAUUCAUCUUUAUUCAGUAACCUGUAUAAAUUCAGAGUGUAGAGGGUACAAAUCUGCUUGAUGAUUCUGGACAAAAUUUUUCAGCUGUGAUAUUCUGAGUGGUUCAGCUGUUCAGCUGCAGUAUGAUGUGCUAGGAAAGUGCUCCAUCAGACUGCCUAUGCAGCUCUUGUUGCUGCUCCUGAUGACACUAAUCCAUAUUCCACUUCUAAGUUGGCUGCUUCUCAGGGAAAUGCUGCUGCUUCAACAUCUUUUACUGCUGAUCCAGCUUUACAUUUUUGGAGCAACUCAGGAAUUCUCUCUUCCCCCUUUUAACUAGUGAAAGUAAACACAAUUUACUGUUUCAUAAAACAGAAUUCUUAAACCAUAGUAUCAUUAUCAAUUCUGGCUGUAAUGGCUUGCUCUGUGUUUAAGAUGUCUUAGUGUAGUCUGCAAUAGUCUCGUUGUAACAGGCCAUACAGUUAGACUAAGUGACCAGCUUGGGAUUCUUCCAAUAUCCUGAGACUCUGUAGCUACAACUGCCAACUCAUUUUACCUUAGGCAAUAUGUUAGAAAUACACCAGGUGAUACUCAGAGGACUGCCUAUAGCUAGGUGCCUGAUGAUCCCUUAAAAGCUAAAAUCAGUAAAGGAAUGGUGUGAUGCUGUAGUGUGAUGCUGAAGUGUAGAUGCUACCUACCCUUAAUUCUCUACUUUUAACUACAUCACAUGAAUAUUUUGGAGAACAUUUGAACUCUUAAAGACACUGCACAUAGUUGUUUUGCAGCAGCUUUCAUUUUGAUGCCUAUUGAAGUAUUAUCAUGCAUUAUGCAGUUGAGGGACACUAAACAUUCGAGAUACCACAGGAAUGCAGUAAGAGUUGGAUUGUAAACCUAGUGUUCAAUCUUGACCAAAUUCAAAGUUAGGUAAUUUUGUUUGCCCGUAGACAUAUAACCAACUCUUCACUUCUGUUUUAAACAUUCAUACCAUGUUGGCAAGUACAGAUAGUUUCAGAAAUGAUGGUUGUAAUGGAAGUUGACAUGCCAGGUUUACAAUUAAAUUCACAAAGAAUACUGAGAUUCUUUGGACUAGAUAAGGUAAUCAGAGCGUGUACUGGGAGAUGAAUACUGAAUAUACAGGCUACUGAUUAUUGUUAACAACGUGCAUUUAAAAAAAACAUCCUAACUGGUCUUUUAUUAGACAUAGACACUUCAUGAGAAAGCACCAGUUUAAGUAAAACAGGAAUUGAUUGUUGCAAAUCAAGAAGCAUUUUGCAAAAGUUUUGCUCAUUUGUACACAAUGUGUCAGGCAGAUCAUCAUAACUUAUAGUAAAUCUAUGCUAAAAUAUGAUAUCUCCUUAUUUUUCAACAGUAACUUUUUCAAAUCUUUGGUUUGGCUAGAAAAAAAAAAAAGAUGUGCUACAAUAUGCAGAAUCAUGUUCCCUUCUUAUUAAAAGUUACUUGCCUCUUUACAGUUUACACUGAGUCAUUUUUCAAGAGAAGGAUAUGGUUCAAGAGUUGGAGACAUCAACUCUAUUUUCCCUUAUCUCUUAACAGCGAAUACAGUUGAAGAGCUCAGUAUAUUUUCAUUUCUUUUUUCUUUAAAGCUGCACAACAUGGGUCUGUUUCUUUUUUGCUGAGGAAAUGAAUGUUUUGAUAAGGGCCCAUUUGAAUCAGUGCUGAGCACUCUAAAUUCUAAAUUUAGUGUUCCCACUGUAAAUUCUUACUAUAUCUAGUUACAUAUGUUUCAAAGUGUACAAAAUCUCUAAUCACAUACUUUCUUUAUAUUGAACACUAGGUGCAGCACAGCUUAGUAUCUGAUGUGGAUUUCUCAGUGCUUGUUUUCAAGAUUUGCACCUUCCUUGCUGCCCACUCUUUCAUUAUUGACAGAUAAAGCAGGGUUGAUUCUUCCAACCUGACUGUUUUGGUGUAUGAAUAAAGCAGUCUGGUUUGCAUCAGGCCCUUGAUGAACCUCAGAAAACUGAAGCUGUUUGGCCUGUCCAUUUAGGGUCCCAAAUUGAAUCCAGUGCUGCCAGUCAAGACCAAAGAAUCAAUGCCUCUUUUGAGUUGCUGGCAGUACUUGGCAAAUCAAGUAUUGUUUCCUAAGAGUGCAAAGGUUUUGUUCAACUGGCUUCUGCAUUCUGCAGAUGAUUGGAUCAGAAGGGAGAUCUAUGCAGCUGUGCUUAGUUGGCAGACAGGUGUGUAAUUUUUGCAUUUGCAAGUUAAUCAUCAGCAAUGGGAAAAGGACUCACGUACAACAGUAAACUUGCUGUUCGCACUUUUUCUGCACAUACAAUAUCAAGUUCUGUUCCAUACUGGAAAGCUUGAUUUCCAUUUCUACACUUAUUUCACACACAAUUUCUUACUAGUAAAGAAUUCCUAAAAUAUUUUGUGUUUAUGAGGAUAUAGAGUAAUACACAUUAACUUUUGGAAAUAAUCGAAAAAGUUGAGUAAAUGGGUCACAUGAAGUAAGAAGAGCAGGAUGAAAGUAGCGCUGAGACAGUGAACUCCUUUGUAACUGUAUUAUGAUGAGUAAUAUCAUGUUUCUCUUUCAGUGAGAAACAAUCCAUCUACAUCCAAAACUCUAAAACUCACGUGAAAUUUUCUGGGGUUGUACAAGGAAUUUUACUACUUUACUUCCUUUUUUUUUUUUUUUAAGUAUUUUUGAAUUCUUCAUACUUUUCCAGAUCUGAACUGAUGAGGAAAGAAAGGCAAAAAGAACAAACUGACAGAGCCCAGGCUUUCACUUCCUUAUAUAAAGAAAUAAGAUGUGAUUAAAAAAACCUGUAGGUAUAGAGCAGCUCUCUGAGCAAGUUUGCAGAUAAAAAUCUCUGAGGUGCUCCGCAAUACCUAUAAUUCUUCAUUUAAGGUAGUGUCAAUACUGCACUGACUUUGGUUGUGUAAAAUAAAUGCAAUGCCUGAAGAUUAAUUACAAAAGUCUCCUGCAAACUUCAGUUCCCAAGAAUGGUCUAUUCUAAUAAAUGUGACAGUUCAAAAGGCUUGCAGAAUAGUAGCUGAGAUUUAGCCCACAAUGAGCCAUAGAAGUUGAUGUGUUGUAGGAACUCCUCUUAGAACAGAGCAGUGUCUGGUCUUCUGAAGCACUGGUAUUCUUAUGGAAGCUUAUUUGUCAGUACUCUCUAUAGCUUUUUGGUACUUUAAAUGGGAAGAAUAUAAACAGGAAAGAAUGUUAGAAGAAAAACCUAAUUACCUGUGCAGAAGUCCACACUUCAGAAUAAAAGCAGUUAUCCAUGUCGUCAUCAAAACAUCAGUCACUCUUGGAAGCCAUAUGCACUAUAUUUUUUCUUCCUGAAAGUUACAAAUACACUUUCUUGUGAUACUGAAAUAAAUAUACAUGCUGGGAGCAAGAUGGAUUAGGGAGAAGUGAUCUAUUUAACAGUCGUCUUCUCUGAAUAAUCCAUUCCCUUUUACCAUACACUUGGCUUUGAGUAAUUCACAUAGAAGGUGUUUGGAGAUGGUUGCUAAACUCAAUCCUGCUCCAUACAUUAUUAUUUCAGGACUGUGGUAUUGGGUCUACUAAUCUCAAUAAUAUGUAUGUAUAUAUUUUCUUAAACUUCCAGAAUCAUGUUUCUAAGCAUUUGAAGCAUAGAUCCCAUAGGAUUAUCUAAAUCUGACAUUUAUCUGGGUAAAAGCUAACACAUAAGAUGUCAUAGCUAAUCACAUGUUUUUUAUACUUCCACUUGGAGAAGAAAGAAUACUGGAAGUGACACACUAACAAAUAAUACAUAAUCUGUACACGUGAAGUAAUCUUUACUGCUUUGUUACUUUUUAAAUAUGCUACAUGCACUACUCACAAAUACAGUUAUCUUUGUAGUUUAGAAUCAUGAUAUUUAUUGUAAGUAAUACAAUAAGUAAUUGAUCCCUGAAAUUUUGAUUUGGGAGAAAUUACCUGUUUAAAAUUCCAAGCCAAGCUGUUAGAUUUUUAGUCAUAUGAUGGGACAAAUCUUUGACAAAACUCUUAUUAGUCACAGAAUAUGGGAGUUAGAAGAGUUAUUCUGCUGUGCACAAUAUACUAAAAUGAGCAUUUGCUUUUGAUUUCUUUUAUUACAUUUAAGAAUAUACAUAAUCAUGAGAUUAGAAGAGAAGUCAGACACUGCAAUUCUUAUUUUACAUACCUUCAUAAAAUCUGAGGUCUAGAGGGAACUCAGGAGUUUAUCUUGUUGAUCUUCUCUGACCCACGGGAAGCUUUAGCUGUGUCACCUUCACCUUCUGCACUGCUCUUAAAGGUCUUCAAAGUUUCACAGCAGUCAGACAACCUAUUCCCCCACCUCGGUGUUAAUAUUCAAAAGCUUUCCCUAGCUACUUCACUAAAAUCCUUUAAACUAACAAUUGAACCUGUUCUCUCUUCUACCCAAACUUGAAUCAUAAAACAUUCCAGCUCUCCUUUUUGCCAAGAUAAAACACAAACAAGUGUGUUUGUGGAUAUUUGUGCUUUCUACUUACUAUACAAGUCAGAUUCUGACAUGAAACACCCCACUCAAAUUUUACUAGGAAAAAAAUAUAAAACCAUAACAAUAUGACCAUAACAACAAUAUAAAACCAUUAUAACAAGAUCUGUCCAUUUAUUCUGCUACAGCUGUGCAGGAUAUUUGAGACUUUAAACAAUAUUGUUUCAGACACAUUUCAGUACAUAUUCUAAUCAGAUAUUCUUCAAGUGUCACAAGAUUAUCUAGCUUCUAAAAUGAGUGUUAAAAUAGCCCUUACCUUGCUUGCACACAGUGAAGUCCAACUACAUGUGCUAUUAGUGUAUAGUUAUCAUAAAAAUAAAUUAGCCAGUCUGCAUUUUCAGGUUAAUCUUCAAUUCCAUAAUUGAAUCAGUAAUUACUAUAAGUUAAUAUAAUUAGGUGCUAACACUUAAUUGAGAAUUAUUUAUUCAGGAAUCUUCACUAUUGUAACACUUCUUUUAGUUCCAAAUCAUUUUGAGCAAUAUACUGCAUCAAAUAGGCUUAACCAAAAAAAUGCACAGACAGUACUUGGAAUACUACAGCUUAGUGAUAAAAGUUAGCCUUAAAAUCCUAAAGUUCUUGCUGAAACAAGAGGAGGAAGGGUAUUUUCAGCAGUCCCUUGGAUUCUGCUCAUAGAAGAAGUUCUACCUGAAUAUUUUCAGAUGACUGCACCAAAUUGCAUUGGAAGAAAUUCUAUUGUCUCCAGUGGCUGUUGAUGUGGGUCUCAAGAGGAGAUUUAAUUCUAAAUUACUCUCAGAAGAAUUGAUUAAGAGAAGCGAAUGGCAGUUCCUGAUCAGUAUCUGGUGACUGCAUGCAUACUCCUCAUACCAUAACAUGAAUUUAUUAUCCCAUUUUUUCAGAAAGAGUCUUGGAGCUAUGUUACUGUGUAUCAGUGUCUUGCUAAAGUGCAUAGGUGCUGAGGUUAGUGCAGUUGAAAAGACAGUGGUGCAGCUCAAAGAUCAGAUUUGCUUUAAAUUAAUUUCCGUACUAAUUUACUGAAGAUGCACAAGUUAGGUUCUGUGGCUUUGUCUCUCUUAGCUGCCCUUGAGUAUGGAGGCUCACCUUUUCUGGGCAGUUUGAAAAAGUUAGAUUUCUUCUACCCACAGAAGAAAGUGCUGAGAGUUUGUAUCAAUUCAUCUCUUUAUCUACUGCUCUAGUUAGCUCACUUCAGUGUUAACCAUAGCAUAAGUCAACACGGAAGCUGUGAGGUCUGAUCACAAGUAGAAAGCUAACAUGACCAUAAAUAACACCAUGGAAAGCAUAACAAAAACAGCAGAGCAGCAAGAUCCCAGGCUGCAGCAAAUGAGAAUUCACUCAAAUGCAAUAACAGCAGGCACAAAAAGUAAGGAAAAGAAGCUGUUUAUCUUCAGAAGGCCUCAGAUAUGCAGGGAUCUCCAGCAAAAUAUUCUCAUCCCCCUUGCCAACCCUUAAAUGAGGUCUGGGAAAGGGUGGAUCCUAGCUCCACCCCUUCCAGUCACUCAGGUACAUUGCAUGCACCUGAGCUCCCCUGGGUUGGAUCUGCCUUUCCACCAGGUGCUCAAUCACUGUUUUAGGCUGUGACAGCGUUUUCCACUACACCAUAUUUUAAGACAAUAUGUCUGUUCUUUUCAAACUCAAUAUACAAAGCUAAAAGAGAUACAGAAUAAUUGGAAAAGUCUUCUGAUCUUUUGGCUUUGGUCAGGUCAGAAGAAGAAAGUGUGGCAAAACAUAUAAAGCAAUUUAUGUGAUACAUCCAAAUUUUUCACUGCUGGUUCAAUGUAAAUUCAACAUCUGAUCAAGGUGUAUCACGUUGAUCAGUCACAGUGGUUUCAUUUGUUGAUUUGGUAGAGAAAACAGGCAUUUUUCAAAGUGCUGUGAGCAUUAAACUCUCUCACUCCCAGGAAAGUCAACAUUAAUUGUGCUGUUUGAUCUUAUUCCCGUUUUAUAAAGUAACAAUGAAGUGCAGUAAGUUCAACAGAACUUCAGAAUUACUUUGAUAAAUCUGUCAGAGGAAAAAAUAUUAAAAUCAGUGUACUGAGUAUUUGCUUCUUUUCUUGAAAUAUAAAUUAAUUAUGACUAUAUAAAAACCUUUUACCAUAGCUAAUUAAUCAGAAUCUCCUCAUAAACUAUGUGUCGACAGCACUGUAUGUCUAAUUAUCUUUUCACUUCAGAAUUGUGCGGUUGAAUAAUGAAGAAAACAUUACCUGAUGAAUUCUUUUAUUUUAUGAUGAUAUCUCUAGAGACAGAAAAGACAGAGCAGCUUAAAUGCCAUCUUAAAUUACAUCUUAGCCUUGGCAAGCUUUCAGCUGGUUUUGAUUUGCAUGGAAACCAUUUUUGUAAGACUCAUAUUCUCUGAAAAACAGAACUUAAAGCUAUAACUAGAAUAAAUUAUCUAUAGCUAUUUAGGGCUCUAUUAAAUCUAGAUGCUAGGCACCCUUUUCACAUGCAGAAUGCAAUGGAACAGCUUUUAAUACCCUGUCAACCUGUUCUGUGAAAAGUCGAUUGGGCAGGGAAGGUUUGAUUUGGCUGGUUUUAUUAAAAUAUCUUUCCCCUCCUUAUACCAUCAUGAACCACUCAGCCUAAUUUAAACCAGGUAAAUUCACCAAUCUGUCUUGCAUGUCUACAGAAACAGCUUUUAUUUUUUAAAGUGAUGACAUCUACCCAUAACUAUUGGCAUGCAAGCUCAAGGCAGUUAUUCAUACACUGCUGAUAGGGAAUUGAUCUCUAUAUAAUAUACCAAUAUAAGAAGCACAUUCAUGGAUUGUAUGCAUCCAUGCCUUUCUCUUUUGAUUGCAUCCUCAUCACUGAAAUUAGGGAACAGUUUUGCCCAGGACACAAUGGGAGCGCCAAAUCAAGUAGCGUUAGACUAUGCAUCUCAUUAAUCAAGCUUUUAAAUUUGUUAUGCUUUUAUAAUUUAGAAUAUGUCCACCUGCAGCACUGCGGAAUGUAAUUACCAUCACAUCGCACAGAGAUUCAUAAGAAUGCCUGCUAGUACAGUAAAAUUAUGAUCUGAUCUAGUCUUAUUAAUUAUUUAGUUUAGAGCUUAAUUUGAUCUAACGCCUGGCUUCAAUGCUUGUUUACUGUUCUGCAGACCAGCUAAAAGUAAGGGAGCUUCAGUUGAGUACAGGAGAGAAAAAGGAAGACAGUAAUGAAUGUCUUGAAAGCAGAUACUCAUACAAUUUGAAAGAAAGGCUUCAAAAAAUAUAAAAAGCAUUUUACUCUCUAUUUCACCUCUUGUACUUCCUGGAAACAUUAAUCUAGAUCAUGUUUUAAAAAUAGGAAUGUUGAGCAUUGCACUUCUGUCUGCCAAGUAUCUACUCUGCAAGUUAUUGGGAAAAUCUUCAAUAAUAGAAAGCACUUUUUUUUUGAAGCACCUAGAGGGAAAAUAGCCUUAAGCCAAGACUAAUCCUAGCUCCAAAAUACUGACACUGGCUCCUAUCUCUGUGAAAAGACUAAAGAAACCUCUGAGAAUCGUAUAACUUGUAUACAUCCAAAUAUGCAAUCUGAAAAUAUGUACCUUAAGUUCAGAUAUAGAGCAUGUUAGACAGUCAGCUAUUCUGACCUCCAUGGUUAAUGAAUUCCAUAAGGAGAGAGCAAACACUAAAAAUGCCCUGUAGCUCAAUGUCUUCAGCCAAAAAGAACUAAUCCAAUUGACUGAGACCAAAGAAAACGACUGAGGAUGUAUGGUUCCAGAAUGUCUCUGAGGUAUUCAAAACCAAGUCAAUUUAAGGACUUGUAAGUUAAUAACUAGGACUUUACACAUAAUCCUGUACUUUACAGGUAGCCAGAGAAGGUUUUUUACAACCAGGGUAAUGUGAUUUUCAUGCAUAGUGUCAGUCAAAAUUUCAGCAGCUGAGUUCCAGACUAACUGAAGUUUCUUCAUCAGUGCAAUAGCAAGACCUCAAAAUACCAAUGUGAAAUUGCCUCACCUGGUUCUAGAGCGGAUACAGGCAUGCAAACUUGUACUAGCAAGAGUAGAUACCAUGCUUUUAAUCUAUGUUUCAAAAUAAGUGGAAAUAAAAUACUUAAUAACUAACAAUUUAAUGGUAGAAAACCUUAAUUAUUGUAUGCCAUUUAAUCGUAAGUUCUUACCACUAAAGUACAUGGCAAAACAGUAUAUUAUGGAGCUUUACACUAGAUAAGUUGGAGUCCAUAUUAGGACAAAUGCAUGACAAUUAUUAGUACAUGUUUGUUAGCUGUAGUGGACAUGUAUCGAUGGAAAGGGUGGGAAAGGAUUUUCUGACAGAAAAAAAAUGUCUGUGAUAAAAGAUUGUUUUUUCCUUUUUAUGUUCAACAAAGUUUAACUGGUAUUUCCAGAAACUGGAUCCCCGUUUAGAAUUGACAGAGUGAAGGAUACUGUUUUCAUCUUCAGUGGUUGUUGUAAUGAUGAGCUGUUUGUACCUUAGCAGAUGAUAAAUAGAUACACAGACAUUUAAGCACAAGGCCACCUGAGUUCAUCUUUAUUCUUGCCUUGGCAGAUGAAACUUGCUUUUCAAUAGCUAUCCUCAGAUAUAUUGCUGAAAGUUAAGAUAUGAGAAUCAAUCAUUAGGGAUGAAAGCGCAGGGUAUUUAUAGGAGAAAGAGUUAUUAAAAGAAGAUCAGCAAUGGUUUUACCAAGAAUAAAUCCUGUCAGACAGAAUACGACCGAUUUCUUUGAAGGAAUGACAAAAGAAAUAAAUGAUGGGAACGUGGUGGACAUAAUUUAUGUAGACUUCAGUCAGGGGUGUAGCCAGCAAUUUGAAGUUUGUACACAUCCUGGCUGAUCCCGUGCCCCCUGCCUGCAAUAUCCCCAUAAUCUCCCACAGCAGACAGGCCAUUGCGUAUGAUCACUAAUGCAGCAGGCACACAUAGAUGUAGAUUUGUAUCAGAGCAAUGCUUUCAGAGCCCAGAAAAAAAAAGCUGGCCCCGGGAAAAAAAAGAUUGUAUUUUGAAUGUGCUGCUUAAACUGACAGUUUUAGAAAACGUUUUUGGUAAGACAAAAUCAGAAAUACAGGUGUCAGCAUUAUAAUGGAGGAAUAGCCUUAGUCAAUUAGAAAUGUUGGAGGUUGAGUAAUAUUUCUUUGAACAUCUUUUCUCUGCUAUUUGAAGACUGAAAACCAAAUGUCAAUCUUGGAAAUUUAUCUUUUCUUUUUUCCUAAGUUUUUAGAACUGUCAGAACUCUCCCUCUUUUUUUUCCCAUUUCCAUCACCAAGUCCAUGGUAAGAUUCUCUUUCCAAAGGCCUCCUCCUCUCUGAUUACACCACUCUACUCCAAAUGCAAAGGCUUUCAGUAUUUUUUGCAAGUACUGCAAAUGCAAUGAGUCUGAAAAUCUGUCAACUUUUGAUCUGUCUCCUCUGAAAAAACAGAGUGAUCAUUAUACAAGACUUCAACCACCAUCACUAUACUAUUUCCUUAGGUAAGGCCAGUUUUCAUAUCACUUCUAUAGGUAGAUGUACAGUGGUUAAUUGUAACCUUUUCUGACGGCACCUGCAAAAAGUCUAUUCUUUCUUCAACUUAUCUCAUAUAAUCUGUGAUAUAUUACUGAGUGUUACUGCCUUCAAUAAUAACAAGUCCCUGGCCCAUAUUACUUCCAUUCUCCAUUACAUUUAAUUAAUUACAUGUCAUUCUUCCACAUUUACCUAUAUUCCAAAAUUCUCUUUUUCUUACAACUCUUCCCAAUUCCUCUGGCAAACUUAGUCUUCUAAUUAUUAUUUCUCCUUUUUAAUAAUGUUGCAGCUAAGCUCGAAUUAAAUCUCUGGAUUUGAAGAAUCGUGCACUUACAAUUUGAGUUUAGUUUCAAAUCUGAACUCUGUGGGUAGGAAACCCUUCUACACUGAGAUACUGAGUCCUGAAAGUUUACAUCUGGUUUUGUAUAGCUCACCUUCAUUUCUGAAUGAUAUUGUAUUGGGCACAUAUUUUUUCUUUACAAAUUUAUCUGUAACUGAGUCAAAGAAGAGAAUGGGUUUCUUUGAAGCUGGAUAUAGGUUUAUAAAAUCUGAGCUGCAUGCUUUUUCUAGAUUUUUACCAGUCAUCUCAUGCUACUAAGAUCUGCCACCUGGGAUAUGAUUGAAUGUAAACAUAGAAUACAUUGAGUUGCUUUGGUAACACAUAGCAUGCAGAAGAUCUAGUAAUUUUGCCCUCAAGUAACCAAACACAUGUGCUUUUGAUGCAAAAGCAGUUCUACUCUCGUUGUUUGUAACUUGUUUUGAAUCUAACAUAAGAAGUAAUUUACCUGCAAGAACUUGAUCUGCCCUUUACCGCUUUUUUUCCUAAAGCAUUUUGAGGUAUGAAAGACUGGAACAACAUGGGGAAAAGACAGUCAUAAUAAUCAUUGUUUUUCUUUUUCAGACAUCAUAUUUGUUUGUCUUGUUCCAUUUGUACUAAUGCUCACUGCUAGACAGCCAGGGAGAUUUGUUCAAGUAAGCAUGUAAUCACGUCCUCUAAGAAGUGGUGAACCAGAUUAUCACAAGGCAUGCAAAUGUUUGACAGAUUAUUACUUGCUGCGUGCUUGCAUACAAGAGUCAGACCAAUCUGUUCUCUUUUCUGUGCUAUGUAGGUUCAAAUACUAGCUGCAUUGUUCUUUGUGUCUUAUUAGGUAGGCUACCCUGAAUAGCAAUGUAAUGAUAUAUGGUGGUCUCUCCACCUAAAUUCAAGCAUUGACAUGUACUGAAUGUUCACAGUGAAUAGCAGCAGCUGGGAUUUUUUCGUGAGUUCAUCUUUCUACCAGUUCUAUCCUUCAGGGUGUCAUUAUCAAAGUAGAACAUACUUCUCAACCUCGAACAGUGCGAGUCUUGUGGAAAAAAAAAUAUAGAAGCAGAAAGAUAUGUGAAAUUCUCAUUGAAUUAAUGGGUCUCUUUGAUUUUUGCCCAGGAGAAUACAAAAAUCAAAAAAUUUUUAAGCCAAAAAAAUCUGGCGUCUCCUGGGUAAAAUGUGAGAGUUGAGGAGUAUGACAUAAGCAUUAGUAGCCUUUGUGCCUCUUGAUAGCUCUGCUGAAUCUCCCAAGACUCUAGAAGUUGAUUUGUCAGCUUAACAUUAGCUUCAGCCUUAGCUGCAGCAGUAGCUGUUGUUUCACCUUUAUCAGCAUAAAUGGUACAGCUACUGGAGGGACUGAUGUGGUAAAUCUUUUUGUGACACCAUUUUGUUUUUGCCACUAUCUCUAAUUGGCUUGCUUGUGCACUCUGCAUCCCAAGCUAGAUAGACUGAAAGCUUCAUCACACUUUAAUUAGAAAAGAGCUAUUUUAAAGUUACAGAGUUGACUAAUUUUAUUUGCCAUGUCUCUAAGGGUCACAUUUUUAAACUGGACCACUUAAAAAUGUGAUUGUUAAUAUUUUGCACAGGCUGAAAUCACAAAAUUGCAUUGUAAGCAUCAUAAUUCUACACACUGAAAGAAAUGAUUGCAAGUCUGCUGAUACCAACAAAACAAUGUGGUUUUUGUAAAAAGUCAGAGAUGCCAGUUAAGAUUUACUCUUUAGUUCUUCCACAACUGCCUACAGUUUCCUUAUACCUGAUCAGGUGUGGAUGUCCAGAGUUGACUGGUUAGAUAUAUACCCGCUUGUUGGUAUGACUUCUUCUUUCUUCUUUUUUCUUCUCCUUUUCUCAUUACAUUGACUGAAAUAAAAAUACUGGUUUUUGAUAUAAAGACAGGCAAUAUCUUAACACACUACAGAGAUGUGUGAAAAUUUCUCGGGAAUGUCAGGGCUGUGUCAUGACAAAAGUGAAGCUGAUGAUACUGGACUUUCUGGGCACACGGUUCCCUUUCCAUGUGUCAGCAUGUGGGAGGGAAAGAUCAAGGGGAUCAGCAGAGGCUCAAUUUGGUCCUUGAUAUAUUGCAAUAGCCUUGCCCCAUCUUGUGAGACUACAGGACAGACACCUGUAUCUCUUACCUGCAAAUGACUUUUUUGAUACGUAAUGGUAAGAAACAUCUCUUGCUGCAGAAGGAUUCAGUUGUUUGUGGACUUUCCCAAGUGAGCAGUAUCAUAACUUACACAUUCCCCAGAACAGUUUCUAUGUUUCUGCAUCCUGACUUAGGAGUCUCUGAUGCAGACUGUUCAUUCUGUAUUUAGCUUAUUUUUUCUUCCAAAUAUAAUGUAUUUCCUUUAUACAUUCUAGUACCAGUACAACUUCAGGGACACCUCUGUCUCAGUAUUCCAGGUAGGAAGUAGAGCACAAAGAGUGACAUUACCAAUGAAAAACCUAACUUAUUCAGAUAUGUUAAAUGCCAUCUUUCCAAAAUCGUGGCCUUGCACUUUUCUCCCCUCAGGUGAAAUAAUAAAUGUAGCAUCGAACUCUAUAAUCCAGUUUUUUGAAAAUGAAGCUCUCUGGCCACAUAUCCCCACUGCUGAUGUAAGGUGGUGUUAGUAAGAAGCCACUGUUGACAUGCUCAAAAAAGUAAGAGUUCUGUGAUCUACCUGCAACAAGGGAGGCAGCUCUUUAUUAGUCCCUCUGUGUCUGUGUAGAACUGCAACAUUAAAUUGCCCUUUGAUUUUUAAAGCCUUCAAUUUGUUUGUUUCUUUGGCACAAAGAAACUUCUUAAGCAACAGUUAAUAUAAUCUCUUUUUCUUAUUAUGGUUUUAGAUGCUAUCGAUCACAGUAUCAUUCUUCUUGUAUAAGGAUACAGAGAGGAGCAGGAAAUCUAUCCUCACUCAGUAAUCAGCAGAGAGGGAUUCACCUUGAUUAAAUGUGAACUUAUAUUCUCCACAUCAUUUUUCCCAUCUCUCUUUGUAAGGCUUAAUGUUAACUGAAUCUGGGGCACCAUGAGUUAUUUAAGCAAUUUGUACGACAGUUGAGGCUUUUUAAAAUCUUGUUUUGCUUCAAGGCUGUGUCUGCAUGUUCUUUACAACCUCUAAUUUCUGUCUGUAUUUUUCUCUCCAUUAUUUCCUCCCCCCCCUCUUCCAAAAUACGCAGCACUGUAGAAAAUACUUUGCAACGUACUGUUGAAGCAGCAUCUUUACUAAAACCUGUUUGCUAAAAUGUAUGCACAAAAAAAAAAAUAUUCAAUUUAUAUUAAGAGACAGUUUUGGUGCUCCAGGCACAUGUGUAACCUAGAAGGAUGGACUACCAGGAAAGAUAGAUUGGAGAGUACCAAAAUGACAGGCAGUUAACUGGAUUAAUAAGCAUGUAGUUAUUUCAGAUCUGGAAAAUGAGGAAAGUGAUUCUGUUGGAAGAACUUUUGCUUAACUACAUAGAUCUAUUUGAGAGGAGCAAACUGGUCAGCAACAAGGCACUUCUAUCUGCCAAAAAAAACAACUGCAUCGAAGGCUUGGAUGAUGUUCAAAGGUCAAUUAAACACAAAACACGACCAUAUACGUCCUCUUAGCCUCUGAAACUCAUUUGAUCAAUCGCAAAAAUGCAGACUUCUGUGUUUCUUCUGCGAACCUGUGGACACAUCUUUGUGACAGCUUCUUUAGUGGUUAUGGAAUCUAAACAACGUUGGGUAAUGGCAACAAAAUACAGAAUUUACCCCAGGUGGAGGGAAGGGGGAAUUUGUUUUAUGAUUAGAAUUGAUUAAUAAACAGACUCAAAAUAAUUUGUUAUUUAAUCUGAAUAUAUACUACUGUUAUUUGACUCUGAAAUCUAGUUACAGCAGGGAAUUACAGUGUCUAAGCUUCAGCCAAUUCCCUGGUAUUGAUGGCUGGCUAGAUUGAAAUGAGGCACAAAUUAUUUAGGUUGUUUUGGACUGUAAUGACAGCUUCUAAAGUAGCUUACUUAUUUGAUGAGCCUCUUAGGAUCAAGAGAUUCUUGUAUAGGAGCAGAAGGCAGCAACCCAAGUUUCCUUUUAGAUGAUGGCAAUGGAUAUCGUUCAGUAACAAAGGCUCUAACUUGUGUUUUGGAUGUCUUGGGUUCUAUCUACAAUAUGUCUUCAAAAUAGCCUCGAUAGUCAGUGGUAGUAAAAUGAAGUUCAAACAUAUUUUAACAUCCAGGCCUUGGAGUUUUUGGUGAGUACAUUUUUUAUAUGUAAAUGCUAAUUAUUAUCUAAAGCGUAAAGAACAAACAGUACUUUGAGAUACAUGUGCUUCCAGGAGCAUAGAUCACCAUGUUCAGCAUGGCAAUAGCAGUUAGCCUGGAACUCCUGGCUUUUACCAUUUAUAAAGCACAUCCAGGACUCAUGAAACUUCAUUAGAUGAGUAAUGAUUGGUGUAUGGACAGACAUGCAGUAGUACACUGCUGAGAAACUCUUGUCAAGGUAGAUUUACAGUUUUUCCAUUGAGAAAAAAAUAAUAAGUAUAUACAAUUCGGGUGUAAGAAGAAUAAAAAUUCAUUUUGAAUAUUUUAUUAUACUAGACAUUAAUGUUUUUCAUAUAUAUUUGUAACAAUAUUAGUACUGUAACAGUGUAGAUAUAUAUACAUGAAUAAAUAAAUAUUUAUCUUGUACAUAUUAAAUACUUGUGAGAUUCUUGGAUAUGCAUGCAUGAAAUGGAAAUAGUGGCAAUAUAUAUUAAACAAACACUGACAUUUCUGAAGAGUAAAACUAUUAGAUUAUAGUAAAAGUCUUUGAAAAACAACAAGAGUUCUGUCUUAUGCAUAUUUCAGACACCAGUGCUGCCCUGGUUAUAGUCAUGGAUGGGGGGAGCUGAACCCUUGCAUUUCUGAACAAAAUUUUGUAUAUUUCCUUCCAAGUACAGCUUUCUCAUACACCCUGGAGAAAUAAAGUAUAUGAUCUAAAUUAAGAAUUGGAAAAUAAUGCUGUCUAUAUUAAAAAAUAUUCCUGCUAAUUAAAUUUAGUCUUCUAUAUCUGAGCAAAAACCUGAGCCAGACCAAGAACCUUUGGAGAAACAACAACACAUCUUGAACUGGUUCUAAUUUCCAUUGAAUCUAUAAUCUGGAUGUAUAGAAAUACUUGACUGAAUCUGGCCAAGUACUGUUGCUGUGGUUUUCCAUAUUAGAACAUUCCAUUCUUACUCCCCUUUCUGCUGUACAAUGUAAUGCCUUCUGUUUGGAUGGAAGCUACAUGAUCAGAAAGCAAUCCAUAUUGUGGAUGACAUGUGAAACACAGCUCUACAUAAUGCAUUUGGAUAACCAUUGAUUCCUGAGUUUUUGAGAUAAUUUACUAAAAUUCAAAAACCUUAAAAAAGAUUCUUCUUCCAUAUCAUAAAAAAAAGCAAAAAAAAAAUAAAAAAAAAAGCAGAAAAAGAGUUUUUAUUAAAAUCAGGUUUUUGUAUUUUGGAAAUACAACUGCAUCUGCUUAGGAAAGAAAUAUUAGCAAAUUUUCUCCACCAUCAAAAUGCUAAAAAAUAUUUUUUCUCAUCCUGUCUUUUAGCUUUCUUUGAAGUCACAAUAUUAAACCUCCUUAAAAAUAUUUAUGUGUAUUUAGUUAACAAAAGCUCCUGUAAGUUGAAUCCAUGCUGGCAAAAGGUUCAGGUAAGCUCUCUAUAUAAGCUUACAGACAAUUGUGUAAAUCUUCAGCCAUUAAAGAGAAAGGAGAAAAAAGCCAUCCUCAUUACACUGCUGUCAUUUACUCUUCAUCUCCUGUCCUCUUUAGCAGCAUUAAGAUGGGAUGUAAAUUUGCCAGUUAAUGCUGUUAGAAAAUGGAUGGUUCAAGAAGGGCAGGAAUUAGAGAUCAGUAUUAGGUGCAGAUAAGCUCCUUUUCCUCCGCAGUGGCGGCUGUUUAACAUUCAUGGGAAAAUCAUCAUCAAACAGCGUUAUCACAGCUCUGUUGAUGGCUGAGGAACUUCAUCACUAUGAUAAUUUUUUUUUAUAGCUGUGAGCCAAAAAGCUGCCUUUUAUUUCUGCUGUCUAUAACUGCGAUAGAAGCUUGUUUGUAUGGGUAGGGCAUUGCAAACUCAUAGCUCUUCAGCCAGGUUUGAUUUCUUUCCCCCAUCACUUCCCCCCUCAGCCCCUUGUGUGUGUUGCACUAAACAGUGAUGCUGAUAAAAAAUAAUAAAAAAAAAAAGAGCGCUCAAACAAUCCUUCAAAGAAUAACUGAUAUUUUUAUGAUCAGUAAUUCAAAGUUUGACAAGUGAUGCCAUUCUGUAAUGACACUGUCAUCCAUUUUGCUGUAAGAAAAGAGCAGAGGCUGUAAAGGAAGCAAGCAGGGAAGAAGUGAAUAUCUAAUGUCACGUUAACUUGAUCAGGAAAUGGCUUAAGGAUCAUAACGUAACAUUUUUUUUCCAGUGAGAGACAGGUUUUUUUUUUGCUUCUUUCAUCAUCAGGUGAAGAGGCUCACAGCCUGUUACAUCUUUUUAUCACCUCUGACCCAAGAAGAAAACUAUACUUUUCUGUAUUUUCUCAAAUCUCUUUCAACUUAAAGACAUUUUAGUUCAUUUGUAGUUAUUUUGCAACAACUUACAGUGUCUGAUUUUAAACUCAUCAAAUUUGCUUCAGGACUGAUCUUGAAAUGAUAUUUCUACAACAUACUCAGCCAUCUUCAAAUGUAUCUGAGAUGCAGAUUGAGGCCAUCCUUUGCCUUGUACUUGGGAGAGGGGAAGAUACACAGUUCCAGACUGCAUGCAUUCUUCCAAAGGAGAUAAGGUGCUAUUCAAGGACAUUUUUUAAUUUAUUAAGGUUCUCAGCUUAUGCUUCUUUGCAGCUUUGCCCUCAUUUUUUUGUAGUUUAUCUGCUCUAAAUGACAUUUCUCAUUUUGAAUAUAGCUGGAAAACAUUGUGCUAAACAGCAAUUUUAUAGCCUCCACAGCACCACCUGAUAAUUUUGAUAUUUCCACUUUGAAUUCAGUAUUGAUUUGAUUACGUAGGUAAUUUACUUUUGACACAAGCUCAUUCCUUGUCUUUUCCUGAGCAGGGACUUCCAAUCAUGCCAUGUUGUGCUGAAUUAUGUUUGGAGUUUGCAGAUAAGGACUUUUGUCUACUCAAGACUGAGCUUAGGCCACCAAACUCAUUUCCCAUAGGAGGAGAGUUUGAAUCCAGUCAGAAACCUAAAGGUGAAAGGCUAGUGCUUUGUAAUUUAAAUAUUACCAUAUAAACAUAAGUUUAAGACAGAUACCGUGCGGUUGGGGGAAUACUAGAGUUAUUUUGAGUGAAAUUUCAAGAAGUUCCUCUCUAAAGAAGAAAAGCAGCCCCCAAAUCUGCUGAGUUUCAGAGAUCACGGUUGAGACCCCAAGGUCUCCUUGCUUCUGAGCCAGGCUGCCAGGCCCCUUCUCAGGCUGUCACCUGCGGGAACAGUGCCAGCAGAUCCCUCCUGGGAUGCUGUCCCAGUCCAUCUCUGUGUUACCAGGCCUCUGCCAGAGCAGGGGAUUCCAGAGAGCACGGGACAAAUCUGGCCUUCUUUUGCUGAGCUGCAGGGCAAGGGGACCCUCAGCAUUGCCAGGGUGGCGGUCCAAGGCAUUAUUAUAUUCUUGCCUGACAUUAUUGUACUUGUUCAGGAUCACACAAAGAUGUAGUGAAAAUACAAAGGCAUUCUGUCACUAGACAAGAAGAUAUAGCUAUUCUGUAAAUCCAGCUAACACAACAGUGCUUUCUGUCAAUAGAGUUUAAGACUGGUUUUGCUCUUCUUCGUAGAGAGCACCUUCUGAGUUUCUGAAAAUAAUGAUCACAGUAUUAUUAAAAGAAUUUCUCUGGAACCAUGACAAGUUUCGAGACAAUGAAAGAGUUGUGAAGUGUUGUUUAAUUUUUCGUUUGUUUAACAGGGUAGAAAGGAUUGUUACAGAGACAUUAUCAGUAUCAAGCAAGGUCUUUUUGGAGCUGUUCUGCCAUCAUUACACGCUUCUCCUACUUACGCUUUGUUUUUAUAAGUAGGUAACCCCAUCUAGUUUCAUCAGCAAGGAGUGUAAAAAAUGAAUUUUGCUAGUUUCAUAUUACUGAGCUGGAUUGGGUUUUAUCUUGCAGUAGCCAUACAAUUUUCUUCUCAGAGGAAGCUUGUGUUACUGUAAAAAUGGCCUUAAGAUACUGUGGUAUUGUUUAAAAGACACAUUUCUAGCCCUUUCCAGGCUGUGGAGGCCUAUGAAGCAGACAAAUAUAUUGGGGUAUUUCAGUAACAGUUCAAGAGGCCUUCAUGACCCAUUUACGUGUCCUAUGUUAUAGUCAGUUUUUCCUAGGAAAUCAUAGUUUCUUGUAUGGUUCCUUUUAAAAUAACUUGACUUAAAAAAAAAAAAAAAGAAAGAAAGAAAAUGCCUUGGGUUCAUAAGAACAAAAAGCAAUGAUUGUAAUUUGCCUCUGCCCUUUAGCAAAGCAAUCAGCAAUUUUCUAGUAUUUUACAGUCAUCCAUCUAGCUAUCUAUUCAUCUCAUAAUACCCUUAGUUUUUCUUGGAAAUAUUCAAAUAUAUUAACCUUUUAUUAACUGGUGACCAUUAAAAUCCUUUCUUGUAUUUAUAAUUAGAAAAUUUGUCUCUUUACAUCUUUGUGUGUUAAUUCGCCUUUUUCUGUAAACAAAAAUAUUGUUGUUUUUGCCAUCUCAACUACUUUGACUACCACAUUUGAAGGACGAUACACAUUACCUAGUAUUAGAGUAGCUAAUACUGAGGUAACUAUAGACCUAUUAACCUCCAGCAAAGCUCUUUUUUUGAAUAGUCACAUUAGUCUUAUUAAGAAGUGCAGCUGUGAGGGGGUUUGGAACUGAAAAUUAGGAUUGUUUAGCUUCCCUCUCCUGAGCUAUAUUCUCUAUGGCACCUGGCAUGCAAGGUACUUUUUAAAACCACAGCUCAUCAUUCUAUAUUUUCUGAAGUAUUGUGCAAAGAUAUCUGAUCAAAUUCUGUGCAGUCUAUCUUGGAUUCUGGUAACAACAAAUCUACAACAACAACAGAAUGCUUUGCUGACUAAUUAGCCCUGGCCUAGAUCAAUACUGCAUUGUUGGACAGGCAUAAUCUGUAGUCUUAAAUCUGAUAAUUUCAAAAAUCUACCAUUUCUGUUUUGAAAAGAAAGAGAUAUGUUGUGUCAGUUAUUGCUGUUUGUCCCAUACAUACUAGAAACAUAUUGACUUCUCUUGACUGGAUCUUGAAAAACUGUUACAGGGCAGAUGCAAAAGUGGGCCAGACUGUAUCAGAAAUAGCAAUUUCAGUAAAACUGGGCUCCCAGUUGUAUAAACUGUAAAACCAGGCGCUGAUCAGACUUGUGCAGAGAGCAGAAGCUCAAGGAGUUGGGGAUUGAUAGUUGAUGUGAGUAUGGACCAUGCAGCAUGGAGAAUGUAGAUCUCUAUCAAAUUAAGAGCUAAGUUCUCACCAGAAGUGUCAACAACUCAUCUGAAUUCCAGGAAGGUGACUUCAUUUGAAUUGCAUCCAACUUUGAACUUAAAUCAUUAGAUGAUUUUUUGAUUCCUGUCAAACGUCACUGACUCCAUCAAGACAGUUCCUCCUAGUGCAUAGGCUCUCCCAGUAUGACAUUACCCAUUGAUGCUCAGCAUUGUCACAAAGCCCUGAGACUCUUCUCACACCAGUCCUUUUUCAGGCAUAAGCUUCCUUUUUGCCAAGUAUUCUUCCUGUUCAGAAGUGUUUAUAUUUACUAAUCUUUGUGACUUGAAUUGACGUUGCAGCCUGUGGACUUGUAUGGGUUUGUUUGCACUUCAUUUAUGCACUAGGGCUGAAAAAUGCAGAUAGCUAAUGCACAGCUCUGCUAAGCUUUUCAGUGUAAUACCUCUAGCAGUCCUCAGCCACUGUAUUCUGCAGCACAGGGACUGUGUGAUAUCUUGUGUCAGUGGCUUCUGUAUAUACUAGGAUAACCAGAAACUAAGCAAAUUUUGGACAUUUAUCUGUAACCUUUAAUAAUUUGCUAUGCAUAUCCACUCAUUCUUUUGUUAUAUUAUCAAUAUUCUGCAGUGCUACUGGUUUUAAUAAGAAGCCUUUUCACUGGUUUUCUUUGUUCUAGUCAUCUAAUCUCCUAAUGGAAGUUUCUAAUUAAAUUCCUACAGCCAUUUUCAAACUGUGUUUUGAAUAACAAAGUCUUGCAAAUGCUCAAAGUAUGUCUCUCCCCCUUUCUGGAAUGCCCUACCUUCCAAAUAGCUGUGGGGAAGCGAUGCAGGUCACUGUGCAGGAGGAUUGCUGAGAACCUGUCUCAGCUGAAUAAGAGGGGUAUAAAUGGCACAUUCCCCAUACAGGGAAUAAUGCCGUGAAUUUGAGCAGAGCUUUCCAGGGCCUCACUCAUAGGCUGAAUGAACAUUGGAUGGAUGAGGAGAGAAUACGUUGUUUUAACAGAGCAAGGAGUACUUUCCUGAUAGACCUGGUGCUCCAAAAGUGUUGAGAAACCAGAGUCAGUUGUGAAAUCUGUUUCUCCAUUCAAAACACUUUGAUCUCAAUUUGAACUUUACUCACCAGGAGCAGCAAAGGAUUGAAUUACUGUAAUUAUCUGCAUUUUUCACCCACUAAUGAAGCAGAAAAAAAAAAGAAAUGUCACAGAAUGAGUUCAAAAUAGAAUUCACUGAAGAUUUUGUCUAAUUGAUCCUUUUAUUAAUCCCAAGAAAUACUGCAACUGGCUUGAGCCACAAUUUCCAGAUGGAAUGGCGGCAGUAUGUAGAGCUCUAACUAGCAAGCUGUGCUUCUCAGUUCGCACACCUGCCAGUGGUUCUCAGAAGUUUCUGCACACAAAUCUGGUCAUCCUUUGGCACGUAGCUAGAUGUUCUUUGACUGCAGACUUGAUGUGAAGGCCUCAGCCAAAUCUACCACUUUCUCCCUUUACUCUAAAGCACUGUUGGAUUUCUGCUUCUGCACACCUGGUGAGGAUAUUGUUUUGGUAAAAAUAAGAUGAGCACAGGUGGUAAUAUAAUGCACAUGGCUCCUAAAUUUAACACCAGCUUCACUUAGGGCUUAGGAGAUUUAAUCUUUUAAACAUGUUUUCAGCACUUUCUUUUUCUAUUUCUUUUUUAAAGCAAUUUAAUUAGUAGACAAAAACCAAUAGAAAGUUCAUGCAGUUUAGAUUCAGAUUUGUGGUCAGGAGCAUUGCACUUCAGAAAUGAUGGCUCUUUUUGCAAAAGCUUAAGUGCAUGAAUGAAAAGGUUCACACGCUUUACAGAUAUUUAUAAAUUCAGCUUUUCAUGUUGGAGAUAAUACCCAACUCAUCUAUGGCUACCCUUAGCUGAAAAGCACAAGGCCAGCUUGGUUUCCACACAGAACUGAUUUUUAGGGGUAAAGUAUUUAAACACACGAGCCUUUCUCCAGCCUUUGGGAUGACCUCUAUAUGAAGUUAGGUAGAAAUGCCUGAUACUCACAGGGUAGGCAGCAUGAGUUUAUGUCUUCGCAUCUCAUGUACUGAGAGGUUCCAGAUUUUCUACACUUGUGUAUAGCCAACAAGUACACAGAGUGAUGUGGUCAGACUGGUAUCCACAGGUUGUAAAGCUAGAAAGGCUAUUGCAUUGGAAAGGGAUAAUUAGAAACAAAUAGAAAACGCUCACCUGUGCUGUAGGCUUGCAGGAAAAACUCCAAGAAAAGCAGUCUCUGGAAAGAGACCCUUCUUUGGUGGCAGUCUUAAAUGGAGUCUAGGAGAGGUGGAGCCGCACUCCACCCCUUCCAGUCACACAGGUGAACUGCCUUCACCUGUGCUCCUGCGGCUGACUAAGUGCUCACCUCAGCUGAUCAAUUGGAGGUUCAGGCUGUGAUUCAACAGUUCCCAUGCAACUUGGCACUUUAUUGCAAGCAUACAACAUCACUGUUGUCAAAAUUAAAUCCCAUGUAAAAUCAUGAAAAGUGGGAUUCUAGUUCAUAACAUUACUGAGAGAAAGCAUGCCUGCAUCUCUGCUUCCUCAAAAUUCACCACUGAGGCUUCUGUCCAGCACAACACCUAAGAAGCUCCACUUUUGUUUGUUUGUUUAACAAUUCAGUAGGCUCUUUAAAAGUGAAUUUUAUAACCUACUAGAAAAAAAAUAAGCCUUCUAGGAGUGCUAGUUGAAAAACACUGUGAGUCUACAGGUCUUUUUUAUUCUAUUUAACUCCUGUAACCAUUAGUCUAGAAUAUUUUUUCUGAACUUGAAACUUGUAUUUCCAGACAACUUUAUGAAGAAAACUUAGAAAAUGCCAAUAUUUUUUUAAGAGGAAGGAAAGAUAGAAAAGCUUACCAUUCUCCAGCAUGUGUGUGAAUAAUUUUUCUUACCAAUUUUCUAAAUAAAAGGACCAGUUAUCUCAGUGGAGGAGACUUUCCACUACAGAAAACUGAUUGCCUCAUAGGCUGUGUAGAUUUCAGGUCAGACAAUACUUUGCCUGUAAACUUGAAGCUCAGAUGACAGAUGGAAACCAGAUAAGGUGAGUGUGCUGAUCACUACGAAGAGAAGGGUCUCUGUAAUUUGCAUCUUGUCUUCCAGUAACAUUUGCUCCAUUACUGCCUUCCCAUUUACCUGAGCUUUAAGCACAGUUAAAUGAGGCCUGAACUUACAUGAUCUUUAUUUUUUCAAGUGCAAUACUUCUGUUUAGCUGCAUUUUAAUUCUAUGCUUAACCAAAUACCAACACUUCAGGAAAGAUGUUCAUACAGUUUUUCUCUCUUAAAUUUCCCCGCUGAAUCUUCUGUCCAACACAGCACCCUAGCAUCUGUACUUUUACUUUUUAGUACUGCAAAACCUCAAGUUCUUCACAUGUCUCUUGGAUGACCCCACUCCAAACCACGGUCUUAGAAAUAGCUCCUCUUUCCUGAAGUCAUGGGCAACUUUCUAGGUACUUAGCCUGUUCUCCUUGAGAAAGAUGCCUGUGGGGCUUCUAGUCUUUCUGAAGAGGCCACAUGCCCCAGGCACUGCAGGGUUAGGUUGACAUUAGCUAGUCUGAUCAAAUAUUUACUUGCAUCUUUCCUAUUUUUAAAUUGUCUGUCUUGUUUACUCUCCUUUGUCCCUGCAUAUCACGUUUCUGUCCUCCCUGCUCUAUUAACAUGUAAUCUUUCCAUUCUAUGUCCAAUAAUAAAGCACAUUUGUGAUUAAUUAUCAGAAAGACACUUUGAUAAUAAACAUAAAUGACAUUGCUAGUGCAUAGGUGUGUAAGUAUUGUUCUUAUGAGGUGCCCACCACACAAUAUAAAACAUUCUCUAUAGCCAAAGGCUCUUGCAACUGGGCACUGAGAGGCCAAUGUACAGCUGACCUCAGGUUGUAGAGUUGGAUCAUUUCCUUACAUAAAGAUUUACAGAAGUGAAAGACAGGGAGGCUAAAGGACAGGCAACUGUGAAAAUCUAAUUUUCCUUCCUCACAUAUUAUCUUCACUGGGUUGCUGUAAAUUUCAGCUGGCCAGGAGAUGAUCUUGACUUUUAUACAGUGUAAGUGGUGCUGGAUACUUGUGGUGUACAUGACAGCAAAAUAUUGAAUGAAAUGCUUCAGAACAAACCCAUUUUGGUAAGCUACAAUAAUGUUUAUCUACAUGUGGUCUUUAAACAGGUUUAUUUAAAUUAGAAUAAGUUACUAUUGAGAACCUUUCAUAUUUUCCCUUUCUUCUUGAAUAGAAAAAGCUUCGCAUUAAAAAAAUCUACACUUGAUUGCAAGUGAAAGACAUUCAUCACCUGUGGACUUGAGAUCUUAUGCCUCCAAGGAGGAGAACAGAGAAAACUGGUUUCAGCUAAUACGUCUAUGAUCUUAUGGUGUAUCUUACAAUCAAUCUCUGUCUGUACAUUUAACAGAAAGUACAAAAAAAUCUCAACCUUUCUCUGAGGAAGUGAAACCUCUUGUCUUGGGGAUCUUUACAAUCUAGUAUACUAAUCAGCUAGUACAGUUUCCCAUAUGCCAAGGAAAAAACAUGUUUUGGUACUUAUACAAGCUACAUCCAGCUCAAAACGGAAGCCUUUUUUCCAGUGGCAAUUAAUGAGAAUCAUUAUUUAGAAAUUAAAAUGGUAAUGGUCUUCUCACAUGAGAGUAAACUAACAAAAUUUAUAGAAAAGAGCUCAUAAAGGCAAGUAAAAGCAUUUGUGGGUCUCUAAGUCACAUCACCCACCUAAUACAUAAGCAGGUAUUUGCCUAGGCAGGAAUGAGCUGCAUUGAUUCAUUUAAUUUGGUACACAUGUGCUUAAGAACCAAAGCACUCAUGUUUCCAUGAACCUCAUAAUCUUGUGUUCUCCUUAUCAGUAGCUUUGUUAAUUUGUCAUCAAUAAAUCAGUAUAUUCAUUUUGUCUUUGUUUGCACAUGCUUAUUACUUUUUCAAAUGUACCAGUACAGCAAUGACUUAAGAACCCAAUGAAUAGCCAGCAUAUUUUUAAUCUAUAGAAAACAGUGUAUUCUUUAUGCUUCUUGAGUCAUACUCAUAGCAAUGUAGGUGAGAUUCAACAUAAUUUCUCCAAAUUAAAAACUAUGCGCAAAGUAUAUUUGUUUUCAUCUUUCCCUGUCUCAGUGAGUGCUAACUAUAGUAAUACCAUUUAAAGAGAGAAUUAAACUCAUUUUUCUCAAGUAACCUGGUUGUUUUUUUUUCUAAUGAUUGUGUGACACUUUACAAGUCUUACAAAUACCCAAGUGUAACAAUAAAGCUUCUCUGUGUCAAAGACACCUAAGAACAUACAAGAGUUUGGUAGGCUUUUAAACUUGGUCUGAUAAGCAAUUCAUGAAUAUUGUAUCUAGAGUAUGCUCCUCACCGUUAGCUGAGUUGAUUUGUUGAACAGAUGUCCAGUUUUAUGCAUCUGAAUUGAAAGUAAACUUCAUUUGUUUGAGAAGAGGGAAGAAAGCAUCAUUCAGAAGAAGAGACUUUGCUUUUGAAAUCAUUCUCUUUCUUUUAACAUAUACAGAACAUUCAGUUAUUUGAAGUCUGGUUCCGAAUAUAACAGGUUUUAUCUCAGAGGCGAGAAAAAACAUGGUAAUUUAAAAAUAAAUAAAUAAAUGAAACACAUAAAAACUGAACAACCAAAACAAAAUACAUUUUAAACUGCUUCCAAGUGUUUUGAGCCGCUUGGGCGUAGGCGGUACCUACAUUUGGGGUCUAAUGGAGAGUCAAGUCUAUUUACAUUGUGUCUUUUCUUUUUCUCUGGUUUUGUUUUAUGACCGUAAUUUGUAUCUACCUCACUAAACAAACAUAUAUUCUCACAAACACUUUCCUUUUGCAUUUCAUGGCUGUAGCUUAUCACUCUUCUUAUUCGCUGGCUCACUAAUUCAUUGACUUCUUAAAAAGUUGGAAAAGUUGGAAUAAAAAAUAAAGUCUUGCUCUCAUCAAACAACUUUGAGAAACUCACUGGGAAUUUUCAAAAGUGAGUUUUCAAAUUUUCAAAAGAAAAUUACCCAGUUUGCAUUAUAUGUCUAAGGGUUUUGUGAGAUUAACUGUCUUAUUCAGCUUUCAAAAUCCUGCCUUGCAGACUCAAUAUCCCAAUCCAGUAUGACAAAGAGGAAGAAAGUCAAAGAUUCCCAUGUCCAAGAUUAGGAUGUAUCAUCUAAAUCUGUGUCAUCCAUGGUCAGGCACCUUGAGAUGGCUGUUGGAACAGAUCUCACAGAAUUACUGCGUUCCUGAAGCCACUCAGAGUAAUGCACUAACAGCACAGCAGGGCAGUUUGUUCCUAAGCCUUUUACUGAGGCUGACCUCUUGCUGAGCAUGGGGCUUUAUAAAUAGUAAAUUUUUGAGUUUAUUGGACAUGGAUGGCUCUCUUUCUCACCUAUACUUGCAGCUCUCAGCAGCUCAAAUUUUGGUGUAUUUUGAUCUACCUGAUGGGUAAAAGAAAACAGCCCUUAGAAGGCCUGAACUGCAAUCCUGCCUAUGAGUAGCUACUUGUGAGAAUAAGGUUUUCAGGCAGGGAAGGGGGGAGGCAAAGGCAAACUCUUCCAAACAGGUUUACAAUAGAGAUACAGCGCACCAUAUUAUCUAACAACGCUCUGCCUUUUCACUCAAGUAGACAGACAUUAAGGUGCAUUAGUCCUAUCAUUUGUAUGUCUGUAAAUAUCAAUAAAGUAUGUUAUUUGGCAUUCACAUUUACACAAUGAGGAUGAGGACUAUCCUUUUCAGGAAAUUUCACUGAGCCAUCCACAAACAAAAGCUCCGUAAUUUAAUCUUUCAAAAGCUCAAUAAUGCUAAGUUCAAAAUUGCAGGUUUUAAACUAAUGUACCCGAUAAGUAAUGAUGACAGAAUUUAAAAGGUCCAUUAUUUGGUAAUCUAAUAUUCCCAAUCCCAGUUAUCUGUCAAAGAGAAUACUCUCCCUUAAACAGCGCUAAUGUGUUCACAUCUACAUUAAUCUCUUAGGGAGAAAAGAAGCAUUCUUUACAGGCUUUAUCUGUUUCCAAAUGUCUGACUCCACAAGGAGCCAUUUCGCACUGCUGAUGAGGCUAUGUAAAUGACUCAAAUGUCUUUGUACGAUAGGUGCUAUUUCUUACGGAUACAUGUGAUACCAAGAGGCACUCCCCAGCCAGCCAACCUUCCGUGCUCAUCUGCGUGCUGUACCAGGUGCCUUUGAAUCCUCUGCUGCUUCUCCACUCCAAAACAGACAUUUCUAGUUUGCUCCUCACCUGCUUUUCAUGCACAAUACGCUGUUUUUCCAUGCAGCACAACUUUCUUCUUUUGUUGUAUCAUCUCCCAGCCAUGCUGCAAAGAUCCCUAAGGCUGUGGAAUGAGUGUGACUAGUUCAGAAGGGGAAAGCAUAUAGGAAACACACCUUUCUUUUUGGGAAAUUGCUGUGGCAGUGUAUGCAAUAGUUAGGGUCCUAGGGUGGCACCGGGAAAUGGGGUCAUUGUGUGUUUUCCUUGUUCUUCUAGGCAAGGUUCCUUCCUCUCCAAAAAUCUUCUCUAGAAAUUUCUCAGCUUACAACUCAGAUCUUUAAACUUCAUUUCUACAGGAGGCUUUGGCCUCAGUAAGCCUGAUUCUGGCCUCCAUUCUAGAUUCUACUCCAUUCUAAUUCAAGACUUUCUGAAAUGCGUGUGCAAUAGAAUAGUCACACUUUCAAGAACAUGGUACUUUUUCCUGGCUGAGGUUUUCAAAACACUUGCUUAAAUGGAAUACAGAUUUCUUUUUGGGGUUUCUGCUAUACUUUGACCAUUCAGAACCAGACAGUGUGAAAUUCCCACCUGAUAUGUUGUAUUUGAUUGCCACAGGUAAACUGAUUCUUAUCUACAAAAAGAAAUCUGCAAGCAUGAAAAUGUCUUCCUAGGAAAUGUUUAAAAGAACACAUAUUGAAGAGCCUUUGUAAUAUCAGUAAUUACAAGAGAAUGUGUCAGACACUAUGUUAGGAACUUUCAAUUCAAAAUACUACCCAGCAAUUAAUUUCUGCCUUUAAUUACGUUAUUAAAUUAAGCUUUUCUUUCCAUAUAUUGUUUUGCUGCUUCUUUGGGUGCUUUAUAAAAGCUCUUUUCAAUGCAUUUACUGUGAUUCAUUCCGUCAUGAAAUAUCAGGCCUUGCUCUGGUUAAGCUCAGCUAACCAUGAACUCAGACAUACAGAUGCUAUCAUAUUUUACGGUGAUCUUUCUAUCAUUUUAACUGAUGAUAACCAGUAUCCAAAACUCAGCCAAAAAUUUGUUCCAGGCCU
RNAcentral lists this long non-coding RNA (32759 nucleotides) under Gallus gallus (chicken). The record is from RNAcentral. Lineage: Eukaryota; Metazoa; Chordata; Aves; Galliformes; Phasianidae.